GCAACGAUGGGUUUGAGAGAAGCAGCGAGUUGCUUUGUCAUCUUCCUUCUUUCUGUGUCAGAAGAAACAAGUCCUUCACACAACAGCGUGAGUGCGGUGAGAGACCAGAAGACAGAGCGCAGAUUUCAGCUGCGGCACACACACGACCAGCAGAGCCGCACGAUGACGUCCACUACGCCAGCGUCUACUUCACCCAGAACCGGGCAGAUGCCAUAGGUUGAGUUCAACCCCAGAGAGAAACUGAGGAAGAUGAGGAGGAGGCUGAAUACAGUGCUGUUCGAUUUGACAGUGCAACAAGAACAAGACGUGAAGAAGAGGGGGACGAUUCAUCUGCAGUGUAC
This is a long non-coding RNA of Hippoglossus stenolepis (Pacific halibut), 341 nucleotides long. RefSeq lists it as uncharacterized. Lineage: Eukaryota; Metazoa; Chordata; Actinopteri; Pleuronectiformes; Pleuronectidae. The transcript is spliced from 4 exons. The record is from RefSeq and is a predicted model, not a curated record.